This 491-nucleotide ribosomal RNA is filed under the name uncultured bacterium. Its description in RNAcentral is "partial 16S ribosomal RNA". It matches the Rfam family "Bacterial small subunit ribosomal RNA", at positions 29 to 507 of the family's 1533-position model. The record is from RNAcentral.
AGUGAACGCUGGCGGUAGGCCUAACACAUGCAAGUCGAACGGCAGCACAGUAAGAGCUUGCUCUUACGGGUGGCGAGUGGCGGACGGGUGAGGAAUACAUCGGAAUCUACUUUUUCGUGGGGGAUAACGUAGGGAAACUUACGCUAAUACCGCAUACGACCUACGGGUGAAAGCAGGGGAUCUUCGGACCUUGCGCGAUUGAAUGAGCCGAUGUCGGAUUAGCUAGUUGGCGGGGUAAAGGCCCACCAAGGCGACGAUCCGUAGCUGGUCUGAGAGGAUGAUCGGCCACACUGAAACUGAGACACGGUCCAGACUCCUACGGAAGGCAGCGGUGGGGAAUAUUGGACAAGGGGCGCAAGCCUGAUCCAGCCAUACCGCGUGGGUGAAGAAGGCCUUCGGGUUGUAAAGCCCUUUUGUUGGAAAGAAAAGCAGCAGGUUAAUACCCCGCUGUUCUGACGGUACCCAAAGAAUAAGCACCGGCUAACUUCGUG